This 25-nucleotide unclassified non-coding RNA is filed under the name Mus musculus (house mouse). RNAcentral describes it as "oocyte_clustered_small_RNA11224". Lineage: Eukaryota; Metazoa; Chordata; Mammalia; Rodentia; Muridae. The record is from RNAcentral.
AGUUGUAAAAUGUUGCUCAUGAAAG